CCUUCUUCCCUACCCCCGCCGCCGCCCGCCGUUGGAGAUAAAAAGAAGCAAAGUGCCGCCGUCGAUGGGUGAUUCGCCGGCCGGAGAGGAGAGAAUAAGGGGAGAGCCAAGACAAAGCCAUUACUAAUUGGAAAGGGAUGCGUCCUGAGCUGCCGCGAGUCCUGGGCGAAGAUCCCAGGUUGUUAUGAGUCUUUGCAGGAAGGUGAUCACAUUUUUUCUUGAGUUCUUCUCUGCCAAGUAGAAUAGCAAGGGCACAAGCCUUGUUCUGUUUUUCAAUCGAGCUAAAUUUUGCUGGCCUUUGUUACCUGAGAUGAUUCCCCUUGGGGCGGCUCCGGGCGGCUGUGCUUCAGUUUUUAUGAUUUCAGUCUUGUUUCAUUUAGUUGAUCAGUGUCCCAACAUCAGUCUUGUGGUUGAGUCACUUAUUUUAGACUGUAGUUGAUUCACUCAUUUAAGCUUGGGCAAAAAGAGCUUCACUAGGACCGAGUACAACACCGCAACCGAUGGUCGGAUCUUCUUCAAGCAUGGAUGGAAGAAGUUUCUUACGAGGACUGGACUUGAGGUUGGAGCGGAUGUGUUAAUAAAAUGCAAGACAAAGGUCAGCAAUAAGCUCGAGAUGAUUGUUCUUAGUCUAUUGUUCAAUCAAUGUUUAUUAUUAUCAGUCAUUUUCUUAUAAUAGUUGACUCACCACCAGUCAAUGUUCAGAGAGCACACAUAAUUGUUCUAUUUACCAUUCAUGAGUUUUACUCAUCGUUCAGCCUUUCA
Molecule: long non-coding RNA, 762 nt
Organism: Triticum aestivum (bread wheat)
Lineage: Eukaryota; Viridiplantae; Streptophyta; Magnoliopsida; Poales; Poaceae
Exons: 2
Source: RefSeq, a predicted model, not a curated record